GUGGGGAAUUUUGGACAAUGGGCGCAAGCCUGAUCCAGCAAUGCCGCGUGCAGGAAGAAGGCCUUCGGGUUGUAAACUGCUCUUGUACGGAACGAAAAGGCUCUGGUUAAUACCUGGGGCUCAUGACGGUACCGUAAGAAUAAGCACCGGCUAACUACGUGCCAGCAGCCGCGGUAAUACGUAGGGUGCAAGCGUUAAUCGGAAUUACUGGGCGUAAAGCGUGCGCAGGCGGUUUUGUAAGACAGACGUGAAAUCCCCGGGCUCAACCUGGGAAUGGCGUUUGUGACUGCAAAGCUGGAGUGCGGCAGAGGGGGAUGGAAUUCCGCGUGUAGCAGUGAAAUGCGUAGAUAUGCGGAGGAACACCGAUGGCGAAGGCAAUCCCCUGGGCCUGCACUGACGCUCAUGCACGAAAGCGUGGGGAGCAAACAGGAUUAGAAACCCGUGUAGUCC
Molecule: ribosomal RNA, 450 nt
Filed under: uncultured bacterium
Lineage: Bacteria
Description: partial 16S ribosomal RNA
Rfam family: Bacterial small subunit ribosomal RNA
Source: RNAcentral